Molecule: long non-coding RNA, 1068 nt
Organism: Medicago truncatula (barrel medic)
Lineage: Eukaryota; Viridiplantae; Streptophyta; Magnoliopsida; Fabales; Fabaceae
Exons: 5
Source: RefSeq, a predicted model, not a curated record
AUGAAGCGAAAACAAAAGCGGUGGCAAUUUCGCAAUUUUGCCUAAACUUCUCUUAACCAAUAGAAAAUGUUUUUUGUAGAUCUCAGAUCCCCUUUCUCUUAACCCUUCUGCUAAUAAUCUCACUCAUUGAAAGCCAUUGUUCUCACUCCUCAAAUCGUCGUCGUUCUCAACGUUUCAUCCAAUUGUGAUGUUGUUUUCACUCAAUCGAUGUCGUUCUCGCCGUUUCUCGUAUGGGUUCUCGUUGUCAGUGGAAGAAAAGCUCUUCUCCGGUUCUGAAAAUAUGGGUUUUCACUACAAGUAAGAAUUUAUAGUUGAUGGAUGCAUGUUUCUGGUGGUGUUCAACUUCAAAGGGCCUCAAUGGGUUAAAAUGGCACACAAUAGUUAAAAUGUUUAAGUACAAUGACACACUUGCUGUAUAAUGAUGAUGCAGUAGCAGCAAGGUGAAAAGACUCUUGGAGUCCACUUAAAUCAACAAAAAGAAGGAGAAAAGUGUGCAAGAGACAUAAAUGUGGAGUAAAAGGAGCUGAGGGUUCAAAAUGGUUGAAACAUUAUUGUAGUGAUCAUCAAAUACUGCUUGUGGAUGAGAGUGAUUUCUCCUUCUCCCUUUGCAUAUCCAAAUUAAGCUUUUGCUUCUACUGCCAACAUUUUGUCUUCUUCACUUGACAACUAUUGGUCUCUUUCUAUCUCUUUUCUCACUUUUUCUAUAUAUAAAACGAAAGAUGGGAUGUCAAACAAAAGCUUUUCAUUGUUGUGCUGGACAGGAGGACUAUUAAACUUCAAAUUUUGCAGGAAACGAUCAAACAAAGUUAACAAGAGAUUCAAUUGCAUGCUAGUGAACUUUUUAAGUUGAUGGAUUAAGUCUCCAAGUACAAAGAACAUGUAUAAGAACUAGAACUUGCAGAUAUAUUUACUUUUAGUAACAUCAGAUUUUGGAUAUGGUAAUGUGAUGUACUUCAAUUUUGAACUGUAGAUAAUUUGUGUUAUGCAUAAUGCAUGUUUGUUAAUCACAUGGGUAAGGACUAGAACUUACAAAUAUUUUUACUUUUAAUAACAAUUUAUUUUGGAUAA